Molecule: small nuclear RNA, 117 nt
Filed under: Hucho hucho (huchen)
Lineage: Eukaryota; Metazoa; Chordata; Actinopteri; Salmoniformes; Salmonidae
Description: U5 spliceosomal RNA (ENSHHUG00000043245.1)
Rfam family: U5 spliceosomal RNA
About the family: U5 RNA is a component of both types of known spliceosome. The precise function of this molecule is unknown, though it is known that the 5' loop is required for splice site selection and p220 binding, and that both the 3' stem-loop and the Sm site are important for Sm protein binding and cap methylation.
Source: Rfam by way of RNAcentral
CGACUCUGGUUUCUCUUCAUUACGCACAAGCCUUUCGCCUUUUACUAAAGACUUCCGUGGAGAGGAACACUUACGAGUUCAUCGUAUUUUUGGAGAGGCUUUGCUUCUGGCAGAGCC